UGACUGUGUUGAGGUUCCUUGCUCAUGGC
This 29-nucleotide non-coding RNA is filed under the name Mus musculus (house mouse). Lineage: Eukaryota; Metazoa; Chordata; Mammalia; Rodentia; Muridae. The record is from RNAcentral.